RNAcentral lists this microRNA precursor (120 nucleotides) under Oryza sativa Indica Group (long-grained rice). Its description in RNAcentral is "osa-MIR440". Lineage: Eukaryota; Viridiplantae; Streptophyta; Magnoliopsida; Poales; Poaceae. The record is from RNAcentral.
AUUGCUAUUGUUGGUGCUGGGCUCGUCCUGAUCACUAGGAGACUCUGAUCAAGCUAGGCCUAACCUUAUGUAUUAGUGUCUCCUGAUGAUCGGGACAAGGCUAACACCGAUGAGAGCGAU